AACAGUUGGAAACGACUGCUAAACCCGGAUGAGCCGAAAGGUAAAAGAUUUAUCGCCUAGAGAGGGGCUUGCGUCUGAUUAGCUAGUUGGUAAGGUAAAGGCUUACCAAGGCGACGAUCAGUAGCUGGUCUGAGAGGAUGAUCAGCCACACUGGGACUGAGACACGGCCCAGACUCCUACGGGAGGCAGCAGUGGGGAAUUUUCCGCAAUGGGCGAAAGCCUGACGGAGCAAGACCGCGUGGGGGAGGAAGGUUCUUGGAUUGUCAACCCCUUUUCUCAGGGAAGAACAAAAUGACGGUACCUGAGGAAAAAGCAUCGGCUAACUCCGUGCCAGCAGCCGCGGUAAUACGGGGGAUGCAAGCGUUAUCCGGAAUGAUUGGGCGUAAAGAGUCCGUAGGUAGCCAAUCAAGUCUGCUGUUAAAGAGCGAGGCUUAACUUCGUAAAGGCAGUGGAAACUGGAAGGCUAGAGUGUAGUAGGGGCAGAGGGAAUUCCUGGUGUAGCGGUGAAAUGCGUAGAGAUCAGGAAGAACACCGGUGGCGAAGGCGCUCUGCUGGGCUAUAACUGACACUGAGGACGA
RNAcentral lists this ribosomal RNA (578 nucleotides) under Planktothrix sp. PUPCCC 108.8. RNAcentral describes it as "bacterial SSU rRNA". It matches the Rfam family "Bacterial small subunit ribosomal RNA", at positions 145 to 756 of the family's 1533-position model. The record is from RNAcentral. Lineage: Bacteria; Bacillati; Cyanobacteriota; Cyanophyceae; Oscillatoriales; Microcoleaceae.